UUUGACGAAUCUAAACGAACGAACGACGCUCCACGCCGCUGCCGCGUCGUCGUCAGCCAGUAUUAUCUACGCGUUACGUAAUUACAGAGAGCCGAAUGACGGGCAAGUGUAAACGGCGCGGCAUCACGUCGCGCACUGGAUAGCUGCGAGGGCUGCGAACGAAAUGGCCGGAUCGAACCUGAAGAUCGGUUAAUUUCGCAUAGCGGAGCAAAAAGCAACGACGCGGCGACGCGACGCGAUUCACAAUCAUGAGCACCAUGAGCUACGGCAUGACUUAUGGCAGCACGAGAAUUCACGUCCGCGCGUUCGACGACAUCGUAGAUGGAUGUAUAUAGAUAGAACAAUGCAACGUCAUCGUCUCUAAAGAAACAAAGUUGUACAAAAUGCGCGCAUGUACGUUUAAAGCACAAGUGCGAAUUUUAUCUUGAUAAAUUGAGUUUCGAUUAAAUACAUAUCUAUUCUGUUUUAA
Molecule: long non-coding RNA, 469 nt
Organism: Acromyrmex echinatior (Panamanian leafcutter ant)
Lineage: Eukaryota; Metazoa; Arthropoda; Insecta; Hymenoptera; Formicidae
Source: RefSeq, a predicted model, not a curated record